UUAGCUGGUUGGCGGGGCAACGGCCCACCAAGGCGACGAUCAGUAGCCGGCCUGAGAGGGUGGACGGCCACAUUGGGAGUGAGACACGGCCCAGACUCCUACGGGAGGCAGCAGUGGGGGAUAUUGCACAAUGGGGGGAACCCUGAUGCAGCGACGCCGCGUGAGCGAAGAAGUACCUCGGUAUGUAAAGCUCUAUCAGCAGGGAAGAAGAUGACGGUACCUGACUAAGAAGCUCCGGCUAAAUACGUGCCAGCAGCCGCGGUAAUACGUAUGGAGCAAGCGUUAUCCGGAUUUACUGGGUGUAAAGGGAGCGUAGGCGGCCUGGCAAGUCUGGUGUGAAAACCCGGGGCCCAACCCCGGGAGUGCAUUGGAAACUGCCAGGCUGGAGUGCCGGAGGGGCAGGCGGAAUUCCUAGUGUAGCGGUGAAAUGCGUAGAUAUUAGGAGGAACACCGGUGGCGAAGGCGGCCUGCUGGACGGCAACUGACGCUGAGGCUCGAAAGCGUGGGGAGCAAACAGGAUUAGAUACCCUGGUAGUCCACGCCGUAAACGAU
Molecule: ribosomal RNA, 552 nt
Filed under: uncultured bacterium
Lineage: Bacteria
Description: bacterial SSU rRNA
Rfam family: Bacterial small subunit ribosomal RNA
Source: RNAcentral